Molecule: long non-coding RNA, 565 nt
Filed under: Phasianus colchicus (ring-necked pheasant)
Lineage: Eukaryota; Metazoa; Chordata; Aves; Galliformes; Phasianidae
Description: lncRNA (ENSPCLG00000012290.1)
Source: RNAcentral
CAUGCCUGAGCGCGUGGCGGGGAGGCGCGGCUCUGACUGAGAUCGCGGCGGGCGGCGGAGCGCCGCUCCGGCCCCGAGGAGCUGCGACGGGAACAGAGUAAAUCAUUGGGGAGUCUGCUUGAACUGUGACUUUCACUUCAAGUAUCUUGAUCAGCAGUGCAAUAUUUGCACUGGACAGAGAAAUAAGCAUGAAGCCCCUUCACUAACUGUUCUCACUGCAGCAGAGGAGCCCUGGUGUGUCACAGCUGGACAGAGGCACCUCUACCUAUGGCAAGGAAGAGCUGAGGUAAGCAUGUCACAUGUAUUUCAGCUAAAUUUUUUGUUGCUGUUUCUUGGACUUUUAGAACAAAAAAGAGUACGUUGAUACUGUCUUUUGACUUCAGAAUUGAACAUAAAACACCAAUUUUGGAGAAAAACAGAAUGAAGUUACUAUUUCUCAGCUAUUCACCAGAAUAUUACUAAUACUCCCUAUGGUAAAUAAGUGUGUUCAUCUCAUUUGCAAUUAAACUAAUUUGACAUUUUUGCUUCUCUAGAAAUAAAUUGUAAAUAAACAAAUUUGGUUUCA